Molecule: long non-coding RNA, 1200 nt
Filed under: Mus caroli (Ryukyu mouse)
Lineage: Eukaryota; Metazoa; Chordata; Mammalia; Rodentia; Muridae
Description: lncRNA (MGP_CAROLIEiJ_G0004597.1)
Source: RNAcentral
CUGAAGUUCCGCUGUGGUAGCCUCGGGUAUGGACCGGAGAGACGACACGACAGUUUUCUCCGGCAGAGUCGGUUCCUGGCCUCAUCCCGGCCCCUUCUGGGCGGCUGCUGCUGACUGCUCUCCUUGCCCUCACCCAGAAGCUGGGUUCCGAGUUAGAAACCGCACUCCCACCCACUGAAUAGAGACUCUCCGAGAAGGAAUGGAUAACAAGGGAACAGCUACGGAAUCAGAAAGCAAGCUCAACUCUUACAUCUGUUUGUUCUUGUGCUGGUUUGGCUUUUGUUCUGUUGUUGUUGUUCCCCUAAGGACCAAGCACGGUGUUUUUGAAUGGACGUUUCUGGGUUUUGAUAGAUCCGAGAGGCUGCCUGGGUAAGGGGCGGUGGAAAGAGCCACGCCCUAAAUCCUCCCUAGCACCUGCCCUAAACUACAAAGCAGCCUUGCAGUUUAUCCCAAAGUGUGUGUUGGGGGGGUGAGGGUAGGGGCGACAAUAGGAUUACCCUCCUAAAUUAAACCUUUAAAUCCUACCUAGUUCCUUCACUAAUCUGCUAAACUCAGACUCCACCCUUCCUUCGAAGGACUACAAAUGUAAGGAAUCCCCUUGGUUUUGCGACUUGCUCUUGGAUUCCCCACCCCAAAGCUCACCAGUGUUAUUAAAGGAUCUGGUCUCCUGAAAUACGUCCCAGCAGCCGUCUAUAGCGAACCAAUGAGGAAACCGAGGCUGAGCAAAAGUUAAUUGUUGAGAAAUCACACAGGCAGUGAAUGGUAGAAUGGACUGAGACUAGAGCCCCAGUGUUGACUCAUCCAUUGACGCGCAAGCCUGCCUACACUGUCUCACUUUUACAAAUCAUGUAAGAAAAUAAGCAAUGAAUAUUUCAGGCAGGCACUGGAAUUCACAACUUAGAAGACAAACGUCUUCUCUUAUGAUGAUCCACGUAAUAAAAAAGACUCAAGAAGAAGAUCCACUGUCACUCUUAUUGGCAGGCCCCGUGCCCAGAAGGAGACUAGGAGCGCAAGACCAGCUCGAUGACAUUUUCGGUUUUUUCCCAUUCCAAUUCGUGUCCAUUGACUCUUAUUUCACUACUAUUUCUUAGAUGCUUGUUUUCUAUGAGAGGAGGGUGUGAUUAGGGUGGGAGGGAAGAGGGGAAGAGGUGGGGGAGGGGAAACUGUCAUCAGAAUGUACUGUAUCAAAAACCUAUUUUC